Molecule: long non-coding RNA, 567 nt
Organism: Quercus robur (English oak)
Lineage: Eukaryota; Viridiplantae; Streptophyta; Magnoliopsida; Fagales; Fagaceae
Exons: 4
Source: RefSeq, a predicted model, not a curated record
ACCAAAAAAAAACAAAGCAAAAGAAUGCAAAAUCAUUCACGCAUCAACAACGCCUCUCCAGCUCUGUCUCAAUGCUAAAGCCUCUCCAAUCCAACCUCAAAUCCACAUCCAAUCCAACUCAGCGGCGCUUCUUCUAUCUCUCUACCCUUUUGUUCGAAGUUUCCACCGUUUAUCGAAUCUAAAAUCUCAGGUUGCUAGAAACAAAACCAAUCUAUUAUUCCUUUUGGUUCAUAGUAGAAAAAGCAUGGUGCUAGAAAAGACCGUACUGGUGAAGAAGAAACAUGGCAGCUAUCAUGUUUUUACCCCAUGAUUGAGGAACAAGGAAGAAUGUGUGUUGCGUUGCGUGGACUUCAGGAUACGCAGGACUGACAGAGUUACAGUUAUUGGUUAAUCUCCUUGUAUUGUUGCCGUCUCAGAAAACCAAAUCAUGUAGAAAUAUUCUUCUCUGACAGAUCCCAAGAAAAAAAAAAAAAAAUGUUCAUAAUUCCUUAAAUCCUCUCCGCAAGAAUUUUAAAGGUUGUAUUUGUCGUUCAGUGUUUAUAAUUUUUAAAUUACACAAUUUCUUAA